This is a long non-coding RNA of Syngnathus acus (greater pipefish), 400 nucleotides long. RefSeq lists it as uncharacterized. NCBI's taxonomy places the organism in Eukaryota, Metazoa, Chordata, Actinopteri, Syngnathiformes, Syngnathidae. The record is from RefSeq and is a predicted model, not a curated record. The transcript has 2 exons.
GGAGGCUGAAGCACAACACAAAUGACAGACAACUGCUGAAACAAAGCAAAGAAAUGGCAUUUCCAAAAGGAUCCAGCCAGAGGACUCAUAGGACCCAGAACUUGUGAUUCCCGAUUCAGUCCAAAGAUGUGUUGGAUGUGGAUAAGAAAUCCAGCUGUCGGUAAGUCAAGUGUUUGAGAUUAUCUCGGUAACUGGUAAGGCUACUCUUCAGGUUUGAUUAGGUGUCAACCGUAAAGUGGAAAAAGAAAAGAAAGAGGGAUCAAAUAAAGAAGACAAUUUGGAACAUGUGUUGAAGCUGGACAAGCGUACUGUGACUCGUUAUCACAGCUCCUCAGCUUUUACAGUACCAGAAUAUUUUCUUCACCUCCGUCUGUAACACAACAUCCAUCCAGUCGAACAA